UGGGGAAUAUUGCACAAUGGGGGAAACCCUGAUGCAGCGACGCCGCGUGAACGAAGAAGGUAUUCGUAUCGUAAAGUUCUGUCCUAUGGGAAGAUAAUGACAGUACCAUAGAAGAAAGCUCCGGCUAAAUACGUGCCAGCAGCCGCGGUAAUACGUAUGGAGCGAGCGUUGUCCGGAAUUAUUGGGCGUAAAGGGUACGCAGGCGGUUUAAUAAGUCGAAUGUUAAAGAUCGGGGCUCAACCCCGCAAAGCAUUGGAAACUGAUAAACUUGAGUAGUGGAGAGGAAAGUGGAAUUCCUAGUGUAGUGGUGAAAUACGUAGAUAUUAGGAGGGAGACCAGUAGCAAAGGCGACUUUCUGGACACAAACUGACGCUGAGGUACGAAAGCGUGGGGAGCAAACAGG
This 403-nucleotide ribosomal RNA is filed under the name bacterium. RNAcentral's name for it is "partial 16S ribosomal RNA". It matches the Rfam family "Bacterial small subunit ribosomal RNA", at positions 355 to 776 of the family's 1533-position model. The record is from RNAcentral.